Molecule: ribosomal RNA, 253 nt
Filed under: uncultured bacterium
Lineage: Bacteria
Description: partial 16S ribosomal RNA
Rfam family: Bacterial small subunit ribosomal RNA
Source: RNAcentral
UACAGAGACUGCAAGCGUUAUUCGGAUUCACUGGGCGUAAAGGGCGCGUAGGCGGCCUUCUAAGUCGAACGUGAAAUCCCUGGGCUCAACCCAGGAACUGCGUCCGAUACUGGAAGGCUUGAAUCCGGGAGAGGGAUGCGGAAUUCCAGGUGUAGCGGUGAAAUGCGUAGAUAUCUGGAGGAACACCGGUGGCGAAGGCGGCAUCCUGGACCGGUAUUGACGCUGAGGCGCGAAAGCCAGGGGAGCAAACGGG